GAUGAAGACGCAGCGAAAUGCGAUAAGUAAUGUGAAUUGCAGAAUUCAGUGAAUCAUCGAAUCUUUGAACGCACAUUGCGCCCGCCAGUAUUCUGGCGGGCAUGCCUGUUCGAGCGUCAUUUCAACCAUCAAGCCCCCGGCUUGUGUUGGGGACCUGCGGCUGCCGCAGGCCCUGAAAACCAGUGGCGGGCUCGCUAGUCACUCCGAGCGUAGUAAUACAUCUCGCUCAGGGCGUGCUGCGGGUUCCGGCCGUUAAAAAAGCCUUAUUUACCCAAGGUUGACCUCGGAUCAGGUAGGAAGACCCGCUGAACUUAAGCAUAUCAAUAAGCGGAGGA
Molecule: unclassified non-coding RNA, 335 nt
Filed under: soil metagenome
Description: partial contains 5.8S ribosomal RNA, internal transcribed spacer 2, and large subunit ribosomal RNA
Rfam family: 5.8S ribosomal RNA (bases 1-119)
Source: RNAcentral